This 9831-nucleotide long non-coding RNA is filed under the name Xyrichtys novacula (pearly razorfish). The record is from RNAcentral. Lineage: Eukaryota; Metazoa; Chordata; Actinopteri; Labriformes; Labridae.
CUUUGGGUUUGUGUUUGGGAGUGCUUUGGUUUUCUGGUUCAAAAACCUAAGAGGAAAAACAUACAUUUAUUAGUACUUUGUAAUAGCUUCCAUAACUGUUGCCCUACAGUGACAUUAUAUAUCUGUGGUGAAAUGUUGUCAGUGCUGUGAUAGAUAAAUCAAACAUUUUCAUGCAUACAGAUAUUAUAAAAAUAUGAAAAAAUAUUUUGUGUACCACAGUGUCAGCUUGGUUGAAUGCGGCUGUGUUCCUUGUUGUAAUGAUAAUUUCAGUGUCAGAGUUUGAGGUAUCAUCCACUUCUUUAAAAAAAGAAUAAUUCGACAGAUCAUGUAGAUACUGUGGGUGUAUUCUUCAGUAGAGUACCCAAAAUAUAAUAAUAAUGAAAUCCACUAACCUCCUUUGAAAUCUUUUUCCAGGCAAAUGAAAAAGGUGAUCCUGCCAUAUGGCCUCCCUAGUUCCUUUUUAUAUUCGGACAGUUUAAAUGGUCUUUCUGACCCAGGCACAUGGACCACCUCUGAACAGUCAGGAUAUAAAAGGACAUACGGCCCUUCCGGCAUUGUCCUUGUUAAAUGUUAUCAUUUUCUGGACAGCUUGUUUCAGUACAUCAGGUGCUUCUACCUCUGGGUCAACCAAUAAUGGGAGUGUUUUCCCUCCCCAAGGUUUUAAACCAGUUACAUCAGUUCCAUUUAGCACCAUCAGUCCAAUGUUUAUCUAAAAUGGGAAAGAUAGAGUUACCUAUUACAUAAACAUAUAAAACACAAAUAUAAAUGAUAAUAAUAAUAAUAAUGCAUCAGAUUUCAUAUAGCGCUUUAUCAGAGACCCUCAAAGCGCUUUACAUUGGAUACAUCAUUCAUUCGCUCACACAGUCACACUUUGGUGGUGGUGGUGGAAACAUGGCUGCCAUUCUGCACCUACGGCCUCUCCGACCACCACCACACAACACUCACAAUCAUACACCAGUGGAGGACACACACUGGGAGCAAGGUGGGUUAAGUGUCUUGCCCAAGGACACAACAGACAGACUUGGAUUAGGGGGGAAUCUAACCGCCAACCUUCCGGUUAUUGGACGACCGCUCUACCUCCUGAGCUACUGCCGCCCCAUAUAUACAUCAGUGUUUCUCAUCAAUUUUGGAGAAUGUGGUGUUGUUCCAUGUCUAUUUUGUGUCACCACAGUUUGAUAGUGUCAGAUAACUACACUCCAAAUUAUCCAAUUACUGUACCCAGUGGUGUUACGCACAUAUGCCUUCAUCAAAGACAUUUUUUUCCCUCUUAACUUGAUUUGAUCUGUGCAAUACAUCUCUCAUGACACAGUAAUGUUAACAGAUCCAGUCACCACGAGUUAGGCAGUCGGGUAUGGAUAAGCUACGAUGAUUUGCAACCUACUUGGACAUGUUUGCGUUGUGUAGCUCAAUCUUUCCCUCUCAACCCGCAGUUAAAAGACUGGCGAUCUUUUGACUUGGAGCUUCUGUACUCCAGGACUGCUUGUAUGAUUGGCAAGGUUUUUCUGCUAAAAUGAACAAAGCUUCCUGUCAAAAUAGAAAGAUAGCAACCGCUAACCAAUUCCUCCAUUCACUCCAUUUUGUAAAAGUGUUUUCUGUUUUGUUAAUUUGUUUUCUGAAAUGUAAUUUUUUUUUGGAUCCUGUAUUCUUGGUUUGCACCUCCAGGCCACUGUAUAUAAUAAAGGAUAAUGAUAAAAUUUAAAUGUUCUAUUCUAAAAUUGAUAUUCUUGUUUUGUUUGUCAGUUUUUUUAAUUCAGGCUUGACAGUUUUGGCGUGAUCAUGCUGAGCUAACGUUAAGCUUCUGUAAAGAAUGUCAUGUUAAUGUUUACUUUGGCACUCCCUGUGGACAAAGUGUUUUUUUGUUGACUUUGUGAAUCACUGUUUUUUGAACCAAAAUCUCAUCUUGAUAUCUCCCAGUUGCAGAUACCAGAGUCAUGGAGCUGCAGUAAAGUCAGCUCACUCUGCCCAGUAUCAGGCUCCAAAAAUACAGCCAUAUUAGCUACAAAGCUCUGCUAGCUGUUAGCUUCUAGCAUUAUGCUCCAGACAUCCUAAAGAAGCUACACAAAACCCCCGCUCAGGUCUCCAGGGGUUAUGAGAGUAUUACUAUGUCAGAAUCCAGCUCUGAGUUUCCUGACUGCUGUAAUUUGAAUGUUGCUCCCUGAUAUCAAACAAUGCUACCUUCUCAUCUUGUCCUCCUCUUCACUGUCCUGUUCGGAACAAAACUGUCUCUCUCAGCACCCCCAAAGGCUUGGAGCACUAAUGUAGUGUUCUUCGCAGUUGCUUUCUGCAUUUGAGUUUUUUUAUUUUGUUUUGUUUGUGUACUUGCAGCACUUUUGCUGUUUAUGCAGUUGUUGUGACCUUUUGCAUCACAUUCUUACAUUUGCAGCAUGUUUUUAAAUUUGCAGUGUAUUCGAACCAUUGUGUUUAUUUUGGACUUUUUUGUUUCUCCUAUUGAAGAAUGUUCAGACCGUUGACUGUCAGCCCCUGUAGAUAGAAUUUUAUUGUCAUUUUGACAAACACAACAAAAUUAAAAAGCGCCUUGACAGUCAGUGCAUUAAAACUGUACUGCAUUAACUGUAGUUAUUGUCAAACCUGUCAUUUAUCAAGAACAUGUAAAAAUGCCUGUAGUGUGUUUGUAAGCACGUAGUAUGACACCCUUCUUCUGCCAGUGGUCUUAGACAUGAAAAAUGGAGAACAGUCACUCUUCUUGUUGAUGAUCUUGUUUGUACAUUUUGAUCCUAAAAAGAAGAUAUUCGAUUUCAUCACCUACUAAAAUCUCCUCCCAUGAACUUGAAGCACUUUGGGGUAAACAGGGUUGAAGUGUGAACUCAUCAUAGCACCUCAAUCUAAACAGAGCUCAAUGAUAAUUCAGAUGUACCCAUAGACUGUAUAUAAGAUGGACAGAGUCUGCCUCCUUGCUGGGUGAAGCCACUCCGAGAACAGCACCCUCUGAUGGUGGGCUGCAGUACAGGUCAUAAAUCCUGCCUCCGCCAGCAAAGCUUAUGGGACUGUGGACAAACUUUAGAAAUGUAUUACACAGAACAUAAAUUUUUCUACCCCCUGCUUGUGAUGUUGACAUGUAGUUAUUGUAAGACUGGUUUGUGCCCAAGUCCUUUUUUUUUCUGUACAGCUCCGUUUUUAAAAGUUAUUAGGGGGUUCAUGUUUACUAUGAUUGACACCUGGUACAGCCUAUGGGCGUUCAGGGAUUGCGUAGCUCUCCCGGGGGGAUACGCUGUUUGAGCCGAGCGUCAUCACAGGGACUCUCGGCGACUGCGCGGCCGAAUGCGUGCAUCGCUACUGCGCAGCUCUAGUUUCAAGGAAGAGGAGAAAAACCUGGAAUUACCGAGAGCUUUUUGGCUUCAAAUCCGUAUACAGGCGGAAGGCGGAACCAGGUUGUCCAUCUUAUAUACAGUCUAUGGAUGUACCACAGAAAAACCCUAAUAACUUCUUUAAGCUGCCAAUUGUGAUAUUUUUAAGAGUUAUAAUUCAUGCAUUAGCCAAAUGGAAAUUGGCAAAGAAGUCUAGAUAUAAGAGAAACUGUGAUCCCUUUUGUUUCACCUGAAAGCGGUGUGACCAUUACACCUGUAUAGUGCUAUAGCCUGAAGAUGGUGCAAUAAUCCAGCUGAAACUCUGUGAUGGAUAUCACCACCAUGACCACUGUUCAGUGUGCUGGACUACACAGCAUCACAGACCAGACUGUGGGUACAACUUUAUACGUUUUGUUUAUAUCUUGUUCGGUGAUAGUCAUGCAUUCAUGUGAGCUGAGCUCAACCAGCACACUUGUAGUUGGCAUGAUUGCAACCUCUAGGUGAUAAUGGAUUAAGUUGUGCACUUGUUGGGCCCUCUAUUAAGGUGAAACUGCACAGUGAGGUGAUUCAAUCCCUUUUUUAUUCUGUCUGCCCCCAAAUACAGAUGGUCUUUAUACAACUACACCCUAUAGAUUUUAGUAAGAGACGGAUGCAACUGGAUCCACCGUUCUUCCAUAUAAACACAAGGGUCUUUUUAAGGAGGUGUCAAAAGUACAAAUGUUGUAGUUAUAGAGGUGCAGUGCAGCCGUAAACAUGCUGAUUAACAUCUUAAUCAAUGUUCUAUACAGGCUGAAUAUACUGUAUCUACUGUAGCUUCAGCAUGACUGCAGGACUGCUCUCUGCAUUUGAGCAUUGUGACACAAGGUGCAGCCAAUUUCUUGUUAGCUCACCUCGUCCAGCUGAAAGACAAGAAAAAAAAAAAAAAGCAGAGAAAGAAGAAGUCUGUGUAAUGGAUCCCCAUUAUAACUUCAUGUAUUAUAGCAGACUUGAGUUUUAUGAGCUUUUAACAAGUUUCCCAGGGGUUGCAAUAAUUUCUGCGGUUUAUUUUCGGAACAUUUACUUUUUCUGGUCCGUAAACGAUCGCUAUGGGCCUUUCGCUCUCAAGCCCACUUUUGCUCCAUCUCAAUCCAGUUUCACACUCCUUCUUUGGGGCACUUUACUGUUGUUGGAUGGUGCUUUGGUCAGAGCCAACGUCAAUCCUCAAAUUUCCACAGCCCCUGUUCCAGCUCACCUCAGUAGGGUCAAUGCAGCUUGAUUGACAUUCAUUACAUAAAACGUUACAAUGAACAUGGAAAGCAUGGCCGAAUAGUGACAGACAGCAGCAUCUACCAAAAGAGCAAAACACAACACUUGGAGGUUUCUGGCCUGUCAGUGUCUUUGUCAGAGCAUACCUUGUCAGCUACAACAUGUACCUGAGUGUCAUGGUCUGGCAUCAGAACACCAUUCCCCAGUCCCUCUGUCUGGCUGUUAUUUCACAAAGCCUGUAAGAUUACCAGAAAUUACAUCCAUAUGUGGGAAAACACAUAGAGAGUACAAGAGAGAGAGAGCACAGGGAGGGUGUAAAACAGGACGUCCACCCUCAUCUGUAUCCACUAUAGUGUAUCCACUAUAGUUCUGCUAUGACAAGUACUUUCUUUUGAUUUAAGCCUGAAAAGACAUCAUAGUCUCAUAGAAACCAUUCUUUUAAUUACUUCUGAAUCUACAUGUCAUGCUUUCAUCAUGUCCUGAUCAUCUUCUGACUCUGAACCCCUUUCCUCUUAGCUUCUUACUCUCAUCUCAGCUCCCAUGCUUCUUCUCCAUCCUCCACACUGCGUCAUGUUAGCACUGUGCGAGUCCACAGCAGUUUGUCUGACAGCCAAAGUGUAAUGCUACACCUCUGACCUGGGAGAGUAAGCAGUCUGCAGCUUUAGUCAGAGAAACACAUCUUAAAGCUGAGCAUGGCCAAGCUAAAAGGUGCAAUUAACUGAGUCGCAGCCUUCAGUGACAAUGCACAUAUAAUUUGCUUUAAGUCACAGCCACUAACUCCCUGUAAUUCUUUCACACUCUGCAGUAAAACAGUCUGUGCCAUCCCCUGUAGCAGCCUCAUCAUUCAUAAAAAGAGUGCAGGAGCCUCCCCAGCAAAAAAAACCUAGGCCUGCAGCAUGAAAUAAGCAUUAAGGCUUAACCCACACAGAGCUCUGCUCAUUAUAAUAUCAUGCUUACCUUGGCUUACCUUCUAAUAUAAGAAUCAGAAAGUUCUAUUCCCCUCUUUGUGGUUUGUCUCAGCUGCUUUUCUUCCACUUAUUGAUUAAUUUCUUCUAGGAUUGUAAAUUAAAUGUUGCUCAUAACUCAAGAGUUUUUCCUUAAUAAGAUGCAUUAUUUGGGCAAACAUUUCUGCCAAAGACUUAAUGUGACUUUAAAGAAAGAUGCUUCUACUUACUAAUACUCAAGAACCACUGCUCCUCCAAUCUAAAAAGUCCAGCAUGUUAUUUUCCAGAUACACUGAGGUUGUUGAAUAAGACUGCUUGGUAUUUAAACGGUUCAUGUCUCAUCAGAUCAGGGCGUUGACUGUAAUGAAGUGACUGUGCAGCAGGCCUGAGGGCUCUCACUGUGCAGAUCCCAGAGCACCUCCUUUUUUUGCAGACCUUACAGGAUGAAAAAAACACUUUCCUAGUUCAUCAGGGGGUAUUCCAUGAAGCUGGCUUGGCUCAAAGCCUGGCUUAUUUCGGUUAGCUUGGCUAAUUUUAGUGAGAGUUUGGUUCCACAAACGAGGCUUAGGGCUAGCGUGGCUUGGUAACCAUGGUAACUCAGGCAGGCUUAUGGUCAAGCUAACCUUAGCUGCGUCUCAGAGAAGGUUCAACAGGCUUCCAGAAGACGCUUUGUGAACCGCAUGUCACACAGUAAUUUCAUCUUUAUCUGUAAUAAAUGAUGCUCUUGUUCGUAAAAAUAAAUUGAAAGCUUUUUAAAACAACAAAGGAAUACAUAAAUCCAGACAUGCCCAAUACUACGCCAACCUCAAAGAGAAAGAGAAAUUCAGUAGCUGAGUGGGUAAAGAGAAGUGCCGGUAAAAUGUGUUUUUCACUGCUCUGUGGGUUCAAUCCCAUCAGCGGUAAUUAUUUGGAAAUACCUGAUUUUCUUCCUUUUAUUCUGUGACUCUCAAUGUACUGUCAACACAUAACAGAAUAAAGGCACAAAUGAUCUCAUCCAAAACACUGAAGGCAACAACAGCAACAAUUUCCCAUUAAAAAAACCUUCCUUUCACGAGUGGUCCAAUCUGAUUAUGAUGAUUAUAAUGUAAAGGUGAUGGCAAAUGAUGACAUGACUACUCUGUGUACAAGCUCAUUUAUGUCUUCUCCCUUUUUUUAAAUCAAGGGCGCUGUGCCACUAUCAUCCCUGAUAAAAAAAAUAAAAAUAAAAAAAAGACAUCUCCAUGUUUUUCUUCACUUUUUCUCUAAGUUUGCCUUCUUUGGUUUUAGGUCUUACCUGUAGCUGCUAUACUAAUCCAUUAUGGCUAUCUAUUUGUCAAAUCAAGAACAUGAAUUAUGCCUACAGUGAAUAAGGCCUAUAGUGAAUACACACACACACACACACACACACACACACACACACACACACACACACACACACACACACACACACACACACAGAGUAGUGUGAGCAGUUUCAGGGGGAAACAACCAUGCAAUGCCCGUUCAUUGAUGAGGAACCUGUGGAUGUUGGUGCUGCCAUCAUCCAAAGGGCUUUAAAUCUGCCGGCCCCCAGAAAUUUCCGGGACCGCACAAAGAGGUACAGAUUCAGUAGGCUGGGAAUUGUGUAUUUGUGCACACUGCUGGAGCCCCGCAUUGUGAGGCAAACCUGCCGGAGCAGAGCCCUGACCACUGUGCAGUCUGUCUGCAUUACCCUACUUUUUUUGCCAGUGGGACUUUUCUGUACAGUGUUGGUGAUGCAGAGACUCUGUCAAAGGCAACCGUGUGCCAGGAAAACCAGACACUAGAUCUCGCUCUAAAGAGGAACCUCAACAGCUUCAUCACUUUCCCUGGCCAUCUUGAGCCGCAGCGCAUCAAAGAAGAGUUUUAUUGAAUUGCAGGUAUGAGAUGAUCCUCAUGUGUAACUUUGCCUGCAGUAUGAUGUAUCUAUAUUAAGUUAUGACUCUCCUUCAGGCUUUCCUAAUGUUCUUGGAGUCAUGGACUGCACCCACAUCUGCAUCCGGGCCCCAUCUGGACCUGUGGAGGCAGACUUUGUUAAUAGAAAAUCUUUUCACAGCAUAAAUGUACAGGUAAAUCACAUUGUACCACCGUAACAGCAUAUAAAGCAAUGAAACAUGGAGCCAGAUUAGAAAUGUUAAAGUGUAAUGAUGCUUUAAUGUACAUCACGUUGAACACAGCUGCAUCUGUCAUUUCAUUUCACUGAGCAAUUUUAAAAAAAUACCCUUUCAAAUGAAGUUCCACACACUGAUGAUUAAAAUCAAAUCAAAUCAAAUUUUAUUUAUAUAGCGCCAAUUCACAACAGUCGUCAUCUCAAGAUGCUUUUCAAAAGACAAGAGCAGGUCUAGAUCACGCUCAUUGUUCGAUGAUCAAGAACCAACCUAAGAUGGGUUUUGGCCCAUCUCAACUAACAUGAGUAGCAUUGGCAAGGAAAAACUUCCUUUUAACAGGCAGAAACCUUGGGCAGGACCAGCCUCAUGUUAGACAGCCACCAUGCCGCUGCUGGGUUGGGAAGGAAUGUAGAGUGAUGGAGGGGGAGAGAGGAGAGAGAGAAGAGGGGAGAGGGCAGGGGGAGAGAGAACAAGAUAAGGGGAAGGAGAGAGAGAAUUAGUAAGGAGAGGGAGGGGGAGGGAGAGAGAGUAGAGAACGAGGGUGAGAGAGAGACAGGGACAGCAGAACAACAGCAACAACAAAAACAACUCACAAAAUGAGUUCAGUUUACAGGGUUAGGAUAUGAGUGAUUAUGAACAAUGAUAAAUGAAUUAAAUGUGAUUACAGUCAGCAGGCCUAAUAGUAGUCAGCUCUAGUUUUAUGUUAUUAAUGUCAGUGAGGCUGAUGUUCAUGUCUGCAGUAACAGUCCAGAGGAAUCCAAGAGAAGAAGGAGCUCAGGGCCUGAGGUGGACAAUCAUAGAUGAUGCGGCUAACAGUCCAGAGGAAUCCAAGAGAAGAAGGUGCUCAGGGCCUGAGGUGGACAAUCAUAGACGAUGUGGCUAGAGUCAGGCAGGUCUGCAGCAGCCAUCAGUCCGGAGCAACCAAGGAGCAGGGGGUGUUUGCAGCAACGGACCAGAGGAGCCUGAGAGAUGGAGGAGCUCAGGGCCCAAGGUGGACAAUCAGGGAUGAUGCAGCUGGGGUCAGGCAGUUCCGCAGCAGACCAUCUGCAGCAUUAGUCCAGUGGAGGCUAAGAGACUCAGAGAGAGAGAAAUCUGGUUAGUGACUUAUAUGGGACAAAAAGAUCUAAAGGGGAGAUAGAGACAGACUCUAGCUCAGUGUGCCAGAUAACCCCAGCAGUCUAGACCUAUAGCAGCAUAACUAAGAGCUGGUUCAAAUCAGCCCUGACUAUAAGCUUUAUCAAAGAGGAACGUUUUAAGUCUACUCUUGAAAGUUGAGAGGGUGUCUGCCCCCCGAACCUGGAGCGGUAAAUGAUUCCAGAGGAGAGGUGCCUGAUAGCUGAAAGCUCUUUCUCCAAUACUACUUUUAGAGACAUUUGGUACAACGAGCAGGAUUACCCUCCAUGCUGGCAGAUGAUCUGCAAUGGACAAUGCCUGAUCACAAACAUUGAGGCUAAAUGGCCAGGCUCUUUCCAUGACGCAAGAAUAUGGAGAGCGUCAUCACUGUCACAUAGGUUUGCACAAGGUAAGUCAAUGUAUGUGAAGCAGUUCUACUUUGCAAGUAAUGAAUAUUGCCUGGUCAUGGAUGUUAUCAUUUGCAAUAAAGGUGGAUGUUUUUUCUGCAGGGGAUUUUAACGGCAUCCUACUUGGGGGAAGAGGUUAUCCGUGCCUGCCCUAUCUUUUAACCCCAUACACCGAUCCCGCCACAGAUGCUAAGAGGGCCUACAACCGUGCCCACACAAGAACCAGGGCAUGAGUAGAAAUGCUUUUGGACAAUUAAAAUCUCGCUUUCAGUGCCUGCAAGGCCUGAGAGUGGCCCCUGACAGGGCCUGUGAUAUCAUUGUUGAAUGUGCAGUUUUGCACAACAUUGCCACCAUUCGUCACGAGAGACUGCCUACUGUGUUGGAGGAAGAGGGAUGGGAGAACAUGUGUGGAUGUGUGGAAGAGUCAGGGACCUUUACAAGGUCACCUAUUUCAGUUGAGCACUUUCAAAUGCAUUCAUUUUGAAUGUGUUCUUGUAGAUCAGUUUGGGGUUAUAUGGUGUCCUCCUCCUCCUCCCCACAGGCCCUUGUGGCAGAUGGUCCUUCACCCUGCAGAUUGAUGCACAUCAAAGUAUUUAAAGCAUGACAAGACAGACUUGCACUUAUAGAAUUCAAGAUACAUCUGACAUAUGCACACAUGGGUCAGGGAUGAUGUCAGCAUCUUGAGUUGGUGGGUCGAGCAAAUUUAUUGUGU